Molecule: non-coding RNA, 389 nt
Organism: Heterocephalus glaber (naked mole-rat)
Lineage: Eukaryota; Metazoa; Chordata; Mammalia; Rodentia; Bathyergidae
Source: RefSeq, a predicted model, not a curated record
CAGAGCUGGAGGCUAAGGGAGCGUUCGGGCGUGCAGACUCAGGGCUCAGCCUUCCGAGCACCACCUUUCUUCACUUCCCAGGUGAAUGCUGUCCUGCGGCCGCCCUGACGGAAAACUUACAAGGACUGCAGCUGGGGGAUUGGCUUAGGCGUUCUCACAAGUCUCAGAUCAUGAAAGCGCCUCGCUCCAUUCUUAAGAUUUUGUGCCUGGAGAAGAUACCCAGCCAUCUUCAUUCCGUUCUCCUCCCUCGACCUGACGCGUUUAUGUGAAAACAAGGCCAGCGCGUGGAAUCAUGGAACCUGAGUACACGGGCUCCUCACACCGGCCAGAAUUGCUCCUCUCAGGGCUGAACAAUAAACUGCACUGGGUUCUCGUAUAAAUGCUCCAAA